UACGGAGGGGGCGAGCGUUGUCCGAAGUUACUGGGCGUAAAGCGCACGUAGGCGGCUUUGUAAGUUAGAGGUGAAAGCCCAGGGCUUAACCCUGGAAUUGCCUUUAAGACUGCAUCGCUCGAAUUGUGGAGAGGUGAGUGGAAUUCCGAGUGUAGAGGUGAAAUUCGUAGAUAUUCGGAAGAACACCAGUGGCGAAGGCGACUCACUGGACACAUAUUGACGCUGAGGUGCGAAAGCGUGGGGAGCAAACAGG
Molecule: ribosomal RNA, 253 nt
Filed under: uncultured bacterium
Lineage: Bacteria
Description: partial 16S ribosomal RNA
Rfam family: Bacterial small subunit ribosomal RNA
Source: RNAcentral